GUGCCAGCAGCCGCGGUAAGACGAACCGAGCGAACGUUGUUCGGAAUCACUGGGCUUAAAGGGCGCGUAGGCGGGCAUUCAAGUCCGUGGUGAAAUCCGGCAGCUCAACUGUCGAACUGCCGCGGAUACUGGGUGUCUCGAGGGAGGUAGGGGCGUGCGGAACUAUUGGUGGAGCGGUGAAAUGCGUUGAUAUCAAUAGGAACUCCGGUGGCGAAGGCGGCACGCUGGACCUCUUCUGACGCUGAGGCGCGAAAGCCAGGGGAGCAAACGGGAUUAGAUACCCGGGUAGUCC
RNAcentral lists this ribosomal RNA (292 nucleotides) under uncultured bacterium. RNAcentral's name for it is "partial 16S ribosomal RNA". It matches the Rfam family "Bacterial small subunit ribosomal RNA", at positions 505 to 796 of the family's 1533-position model. The record is from RNAcentral.